RNAcentral lists this ribosomal RNA (262 nucleotides) under uncultured archaeon. RNAcentral describes it as "partial 16S ribosomal RNA". It matches the Rfam family "Archaeal small subunit ribosomal RNA", at positions 748 to 1009 of the family's 1478-position model. The record is from RNAcentral.
CAGCCGUAAACUAUGCGCGUUAGGUGUAUCGGUGACCACGAGUCACCGAGGUGCCGAAGGGAAACCGUGAAACGUGCCGCCUGGGAAGUACGGUCGCAAGGCUGAAACUUAAAGGAAUUGGGCGGGGGAGCACCACAACGGGUGGAGCCUGCGGUUUAAUUGGACUCAACGCCGGACAACUCACCGGGGACGACAGCAAUAUGUAGGCCAGGCUGAAGACCUUGCCUGAAUCGCUGAGAGGAGGUGCAUGGCGUAGACGUCU